AAAGGAAUAGACGGGGGCCCGCACAAGCGGAGGAACAUGUGGUUCAAUUCGAUGAUACGCGAGGAACCUUACCUGGGCUUGAAAGGGGAACGACGUCCCGGGAAACCGGGAUUCUCUUCGGAGCGGUCUCCUAGGUGCUGCAUGGUUGUCGUCAGCUCGUGCCGUGAGGUGUCGGGUUAAGUCCCAUAACGAGCGCAACCCUUAUCGUUAGUUGCCAGCGGGUAAUGCCGGGGACUCUAACGAAACUGCCGGCGUAAGCCGUGAGGAAGGUGGGGAUGACGUCAAAUCAGCACGGCCCUUAUGUCCAGGGCUACACACGUGUUACAAUGGCCGGUACAAAGGGCAGCUACCUGGUGACAGGAUGCUAAUCUCUAAAACCGGUCUCAGUUCGGAUUGAAGUCUGCAACUCGACUUCAUGAAGCUGGAUUCGCUAGUAAUCGCGCAUCAGCAACGGCGCGGUGAAUACGUUCCCGGGCCUUGUACACACCGCCCGU
This 494-nucleotide ribosomal RNA is filed under the name uncultured bacterium. Its description in RNAcentral is "bacterial SSU rRNA". It matches the Rfam family "Bacterial small subunit ribosomal RNA", at positions 903 to 1397 of the family's 1533-position model. The record is from RNAcentral.